CAUAGUCGACACGCAAUGGGUGACGAGGAUUGUCUUCGUCUGAAAAGGGAAGUCCGGUGAAAAUCCGGCACGGUCGCGCCACUGUAAAGAAGAGUGCUUUUUCAAUACCACUGUUCGAAUGAAUGGGAAGGGAAAGAGUACGUUGAAUCUGAGUCAGGAGACCUGCCUAUUGUAUGCGCUUAAA
This 184-nucleotide non-coding RNA is filed under the name Jeotgalibacillus soli. Lineage: Bacteria; Bacillati; Bacillota; Bacilli; Caryophanales; Caryophanaceae. The record is from RNAcentral.